RNAcentral lists this ribosomal RNA (468 nucleotides) under uncultured bacterium. Its description in RNAcentral is "partial 16S ribosomal RNA". It matches the Rfam family "Bacterial small subunit ribosomal RNA", at positions 28 to 507 of the family's 1533-position model. The record is from RNAcentral.
GACGAACGCUGGCGGCGUGCUUAACACAUGCAAGUCGAACGGAAAGGCCCUGCUUUUGUGGGGUGCUCGAGUGGCGAACGGGUGAGUAACACGUGAGUAACCUGCCCUUGACUUUGGGAUAACUUCAGGAAACUGGGGCUAAUACCGGAUAGGAUCUCCUGCUGCAUGGUGGGGGUUGGAAAGUUUCGGCGGUUGGGGAUGGACUCGCGGCUUAUCAGCUUGUUGGUGGGGUAGUGGCUUACCAAGGCUUUGACGGGUAGCCGGCCUGUGAGGGUGACCGGCCACAUUGGGACUGAGAUACGGCCCAGACUGCUACGGGAGGCAACAGUGGGGAGUAUUGCACAGUGGGCGGAAGCCUGAUGCAGCAACGCCGCGUGCGGGAUGACGGCCUUCGGGUUGUGAACCGCUUUCGCCUGUGACGAAGCGUGAGUGACGGUAAUGGGUAAAGAAGCACCGGCUAACUACGUG